UUUUCUUUAAUGAUGACAAAUUUCAUACCCAAAACUGAAUUUCGUUGAGGAAUCUUUUUUACAUGCAUCACCAACUGACUAAUUUCAUAAAA
Small nucleolar RNA from Lucilia cuprina (Australian sheep blowfly), 92 nucleotides. The record is from Rfam. Lineage: Eukaryota; Metazoa; Arthropoda; Insecta; Diptera; Calliphoridae.